RNAcentral lists this unclassified non-coding RNA (644 nucleotides) under Hevea brasiliensis (rubber tree). The record is from RNAcentral. Lineage: Eukaryota; Viridiplantae; Streptophyta; Magnoliopsida; Malpighiales; Euphorbiaceae.
UAAAAUGACAUUAUAAAAAUUAAGAUUCUAUUUUAUUAAUUUUGAGUUAAUAAAAUUCACGUCUGAGAAGAGCAACUCAUAGUUUCAGGCUUCAGGUGCUGUGUUCUCCACAUCUCCAUCCCCGAUCUAACGAGAGAACUUGGGCUGGCUCAACUGUGAUGUGCACCAUGGCUCGCGAGAAAGCCAUUGGGCCAAAAGGGUAUAAUAUUAUAGGCUCACCCAAGCAAUUGCCACUUGGAUUGUAUGCUUGGCCACUUGGACCCUUGAACGAAUCAUGAUCACAGAAAAGAUGCUACAGAGACGAUGAUAAGUAGGUCCCUGAGGCAACGAAAAUCGUUGCCCACCACCUCACAAGUCACAAUGCCUACAACAAUCCAAGCAUAGACACUGCUCAAACAAAUUAAGCUGAAUAACAAAAAAAAAAGAUCAAAAACAGGAAGGAAGGCUGAAGAUAGCAGAUGAAUCAUAACAAGCUCAAGUAAUGGCUGCUAUGACAACACCAUCUUCUCACCUCUUCUCCAUUUCACAAUCUCUUUCCCGCCUCUCUCCUCUCCAAUUGUGCGUGCUUGACACCAAAACUCUAGCUUCAUUCCCCAUUAACAAUAGCAGUAAGAAGAAACAUGCUGGUGCUGGUGCUGGUGCUG